This 292-nucleotide ribosomal RNA is filed under the name uncultured bacterium. Its description in RNAcentral is "partial 16S ribosomal RNA". The record is from RNAcentral.
GGACUACAAGGGUUUCUAAUCCUGUUUGCUCCCCCAGCUUUCGUGCCUGAGCGUCAGAACUCGUUUAGGGCGCUGCCUACGCCGUUGGUGUUCCUCCGGAUCUCUACGCAUUUCACCGCUCCACCCGGAAUUCCACGCCCCUCCCCGAGCCUCAAGCCAUCCAGUUUGCGCGGCGCCCUCCCAGGUAAGCCGGGAGAUUUCACCGCACACUUCAAUGGCCGCCUGCGCACCCUUUACGCCCAGUAACUCCGGACAACGCUCGCCUCCUACGUAUUACCGCGGCUGCUGGCAC